UACGUAGGGUGCAAGCGUUAAUCGGAAUUACUGGGCGUAAAGCGUGCGCAGGCGGUUUUGUAAGUCUGACGUGAAAUCCCCCGGGCUCAACCUGGGAAUUGCGUUGGAGACUGCAAGGCUAGAAUCUGGCAGAGGGGGGGUAGAAUUCCACGUGUAGCAGUGAAAUGCGUAGAGAUGUGGAGGAACACCGAUGGCGAAGGCAGCCCCCUGGGUCAAGAUUGACGCUCAUGCACGAA
Molecule: ribosomal RNA, 236 nt
Filed under: uncultured bacterium
Lineage: Bacteria
Description: partial 16S ribosomal RNA
Rfam family: Bacterial small subunit ribosomal RNA
Source: RNAcentral